This is a long non-coding RNA of Patiria miniata (bat star), 713 nucleotides long. RefSeq lists it as uncharacterized. The transcript is spliced from 3 exons. The record is from RefSeq and is a predicted model, not a curated record. Lineage: Eukaryota; Metazoa; Echinodermata; Asteroidea; Valvatida; Asterinidae.
GUUCAGACACCGUGUUAGCUAAUCUCAGCCUUUCCUGCCGAGACCCAAACCAGUUUCGUUGCCACAGGAAGUUUCUCCGUGUUUUGGAUUCUGGUGUCAAAGUGCGGACGGGACUGAGCUGAUGGGAGCCAUCGUGUUGUAGUUCAGUAGUCCCAAUUUGUUUUUCUUGUAUCUCCUUGUCUGUCUAUAUGUUACUACAGAUUCUGGUGUCAAAGUGCGGACGGGACUGAGCUGAUGGGAGCCAUCGUGUUGUAGUUCAGUAGUCCCAAUUUGGUAUAUUUUUUGUGCAUUGUGUCUUUAGUAUUUGUGUGUGGGCACCCCGUCUCGUGUCGGUGUUGAAGUUGAACUGAGACUUUAUUUCCGAAACGCGGGAUAUAGCCAUUUUGAACACUUGUGCCAAAUGCCUGCAUCGAAGCUAGUCCAAAUAGUUUUUUGCGUCAGCAAAAAUCUUGUUUUGAUGGGAGUCGGGUGGGAUUUAAAAAAAAAGAAGGUCAGAAAAUGGCGUUGGCUGCGUAUUGGAAAUGAAUGCUUGGCUUGAAUGUUAAAAUAAAGUUUGAGAUUGUGCAACGAUGUUUGAGCUUUGUGCACAACGUUCCCCAACCAUAAGCAGUCAUACAGGGUCAACACAGCAUCAACACACACAGAAGCGACAACACAGGUCAACACCACCAAAACGCAUUCAAAUUGACGAAACCAGUGUUCAAACCGUACAG